This 512-nucleotide ribosomal RNA is filed under the name uncultured bacterium. RNAcentral's name for it is "partial 16S ribosomal RNA". It matches the Rfam family "Bacterial small subunit ribosomal RNA", at positions 28 to 507 of the family's 1533-position model. The record is from RNAcentral.
GAUGAACGCUGGCGGCGUGCCUAAUACAUGCAAGUCGAACGAAACUUCUUUAUCACCGAGUGCUUGCACUCACCGAUAAAGAGUUGAGUGGCGAACGGGUGAGUAACACGUGGGCAACCUGCCCAAAAGAGGGGGAUAACACUUGGAAACAGGUGCUAAUACCGCAUAACCAUAGUUACCGCAUGGUAACUAUGUAAAAGGUGGCUAUACUACCGCUUUUGGAUGGGCCCGCGGCGCAUUAGCUAGUUGGUAGGGUAAAGGCUUACCAAGGCAAUGAUGGGUAGCCGAAUUGAGAGGUUGAUCGGCCACAUUGGGACUGAGACACGGCCCAAACUCCUACGGGAGGCAGCAGUAGGGAAUCUUCCACAAUGGGCGAAAGCCUGAUGGAGCAACGCCGCGUGGGUGAAGAAGGUCUUCGGAUCGUAAAACCCUGUUGUUAGAGAAGAAAGUGCGUGAGAGUAACUGUUCACGUUUCGACGGUAUCUAACCAGAAAGCCACGGCUAACUACGUG